Molecule: long non-coding RNA, 1218 nt
Filed under: Coturnix japonica (Japanese quail)
Lineage: Eukaryota; Metazoa; Chordata; Aves; Galliformes; Phasianidae
Description: lncRNA (ENSCJPG00005001661.1)
Source: RNAcentral
CCCCACAGGUGAGACCCACAUGAGACCCACAGAGGACUCUGUUUAUUUGCAGCCAUACAGCCAUGUAUUGGGAUCCCCACCCCUUUAAUCAAUGGGGCAGCAGGUGGGUUCCGAUCCGGUUCCGUUUACUUCUCCCCGGGAUCAUGUCGUUGCUAUGGGCUGGUUCUGCUCCAGUUCUUCUCCAUCUCCACCAUGGGAUUUGACCCCAUCCACCACCAUCUGAACCUGCUCCACCUCCGAGAAUCCCAAACGAUCCGCGUUGGAAAUGUCGAACACCGAACCCACAGCAGCCGUGUCCACACCACCUAUAGGGCAGGGAUCACAUUGACAGCCCAUAGAGACCCAUAGAGACCAUAGGACCCAUUUAGGGACCCAUAGAGACCCCAUAGGGGACUCAUAGAGACCGCAUAGAGACCCAUAGGCGACCAUAGGGACCCAUUAGGGACCCAUAGGGACCAUAGAGACCCAUAGGACCCAGUAGAGACCCAUUAGAGAGCCCAUAGGGAACCCAUAGGGACCCAUAGAGACCCAUAGGGACCAUAGGGACCCAUAGAGACCCUAGAGACCCAUGGACCCAUAGGGACCAUAGGGACCCAUAGAGACCCAUAGAGACCCAUAGGACCAUAGAGACCCACAGAGACCCAUAGAGACCCAUAGGAACCCAUAGAGACCCAUAGGGACCCAUUAGGGGACCCAUAGGACCCUAGGACUCAUAGGGACCUUUAGAACCCAUAGAGCACCCAUAGGGACCAUAGCGGGACCCAAGGGAUCCCAAUAGGCGACCCAUAAGACCCAUAGGGGACACAAUAUAGACCCAUAGGGAACCCAUAGGGACCCAUAGAGACCCAUAGGGACCCAUAGAGAACCAUAGGCCGACCCAUAGGACCCAUUAGAGACCCAUAGGGACUCAUAGGGACCCAUAGAGACCCAUAGGGACCCAUAGAGACCCAUAGGGACCCAUAGGGACCCAUAGCAGACCCAUAGAGACCCAUAGGACCCAGAGAGACCCAUCAGAGACCCAUAAGACCCAUAGGGACCAUAGAGCAGAAUGCGGCCAAUAGAGACCAAUAGGACCCCAUAGAACCCCAAGAUGGGGUCAAACUCAUGGUGGAGAUGGAGAAGAAACUGGAGCAGAACCAGCCCAUAGACGACAUGAUCCCGGCCCAGAAGUAACCGGAACCGGAUCGGAACCACCUGCCCCAUUGAUUAAAGGGGGUG